Gadus morhua (Atlantic cod) is the source of this 1377-nucleotide long non-coding RNA. RefSeq lists it as uncharacterized. Lineage: Eukaryota; Metazoa; Chordata; Actinopteri; Gadiformes; Gadidae. The record is from RefSeq and is a predicted model, not a curated record. The transcript has 4 exons.
CCGGAUUUGCACGACGCGGGCGAUUCAUAAUAAACAAAACAAGCCAACUAUCGUUUUUGGUAGUCUGUUGUUCUCAGAAUAGUGAGUUGCCAAAAUGAAGAAGGGACCUAGGUCGAAAUUGAAGGCCGAGAUCAAAUCAAAAACAACGUCUAAUAUUAAAUUGAGGCCAGCGGCGGAAGCAAUGGUCGAACUUGGAUUCCUUCUUUUUUUGAAUAAGCUUGCAGUGGAAGCAAGAACCAAAGCUUUUGAGGAUAAAUCUCUAACUAUAAGAGCUCACCAUCUACCGGCAAUCUCCAAGAUGUUAUUGAAAAAAUCAAGAGGAUGAAGUGAACGCAGUGCUUGGCGAUGGUCAUAGCCUUGCAUUUGAACACUGUGAAGGACUCAUGAACUGACUCGUGAGCCUUGAACUGAUGAAUAAAGUUGUUUUGUACGGUAGGAGUGACUGUUGUGAACUUGACUCCUGAUAUCGAACUCAGUCAGUCAGCUCAAGAUCAGGCAGCCAGGAAAUUGUCAAGAAGACACAGGGCAGACACUCGCCGCUCUGUUUUUUAUGUCUUACAAAAAUGUAAGUGACUGCAUACUUUAAGGCAUUAAUAUUUUUUUGGAAAUGCAGCCUUUCUUUGAUAUAUUACUGCGCUACUUAACAUCCGAUUAAACUAUCCCUGUUGUCCUAUGCGUUGCAUGAGUGGGGAACCUGAGGGGUUUUCAUGUUUUGGGAACAUUAGUCAGUAUCUCUGCUAGGUUCCCAAAACAGUUUGUUGAUUAAUUGAAAAGUAAUCAAAACUCGAUCCCUCUUGCUGAAAACAGCCCAAAAGAAAAGUAUGCAGUGCUCAGAAUUAACUCAAGGUUAAAGAUUAAACACGUAGCGCUUUGUCGUAUUUUUGGCCAAUCAUUUUGUCAAGUAGAUGGAUUCUAUAGUGGUACACUGGUCACACUGGUGAUCAUUCAUAGUUUACGUUCUAAAUUGAUCAUUUACAAUAUCCAGAAAAAAAAACAAGGUAAAAACAAGAUAAGAGACUAUGAAAUUGGUGUUCAUGUGAAUCACAGGAAACUCCCUGCAACCCUUUCAAACGCCUCCGUCUUAGUUUUGGUGUGAAAGGUACAAGGAGGGAAAUGGGACUAGGGCUACUGCUGAACAUUUUAAUGUUCAACUUCAUGGAAUUUGCCAAAAGCAACGGUGAAAACGAUGUUGACCACCAAUUGACAGAUAACUUGGUGGUGACUAGACCUUGUCAGGCCGCUUGUGUCACCUGCUCAACCAAUAACGGCUGUUUGCUGUGUAAGCCCCGCCUCUUCCUCUACAUUCAGCUGGAUGGGAUGAGGCAAAGGGGGCUAUGCCUGUCUUCUUGUCCUCGUACAUACUAUGGGGUGCGCUCA